This 1402-nucleotide ribosomal RNA is filed under the name Brassica oleracea (wild cabbage). Its description in RNAcentral is "bacterial SSU rRNA". It matches the Rfam family "Bacterial small subunit ribosomal RNA". Lineage: Eukaryota; Viridiplantae; Streptophyta; Magnoliopsida; Brassicales; Brassicaceae. The record is from RNAcentral.
GGAGUCUGAUCCUACCAGGAUGAAGCUGGCGGCAUGCCUUAACAUACGCAAGUCGGGAAGUCGGUGGCGGACGGGGUAGAGGUUAACGCGUAAGAACUGCCCCUUGAGGGGAACAAGAGGCUGAAACGGCUGCUAAUACCUCUGCAGGCUGAGGAGCAAAAGGAGGAAUCUGCCUGAGGAGGGGCCUGCGGCCUGAUUGAAGAAGUUGCGAGGCAAUAGCUUACUGGCGAUGGGAUCAGUAUUGGUCCGAGAGGAUGAUCAGCCACACUGAUUCGAGACAGACGGCCCAGACUUCACGAAGCAGGGGAAUUCUUCCGCACAAGCGAAAGCCUGACGGAGCAAUGCCGCGUGAGGUAGUAGGCGUCCGGUCCGGAAACUUUUUCCAGAGAAGAAGCCAUGACGGUAUCUGGGGAAUAAGCAUCGGCUAACCGAGCUGUGCCAGCAGCCGUCACAGAGGGAUGCUGCCAUCCGGAACAUUAUGCAAAGCGUCCAGGCGGCUUUAAGUCCGGCCGUCAAAUCCAGGGCCCAACCCUGACAGGCGGUGGAAACCACCGUUUGGAGUACGGUAGGGGCAGAGGAAUUUCCCGGUGAUGGGUGAAAUGCGUAGAGAUCAAAGAACCAACGGCGAAAGCACCCCGCUAGCCGACACUGACACUGAGACGAAAGCCAGGGAUGAAUGGGAUUAGAUACCCAGUAGUCCCAGCCAAACGAUGGAUACCAGGGCGCUGUGCGUAUCGACCUGUGCAGUGCCAGGCCAUCGCUUAAGCAUCCCGCCCUGGGAGCAUGUUCGCAAGAAUGAAACUCAGCGAAUUGACGGGGCCCGCCAAGCGGUGGAGUAUGUGGUUUAAUUGAUGCAAAGGAAGAACUACCAGGGCUUGACAUGCCGCGAAUCCUCCUUUGAAAGAGAGGCGCCUUCGGGAACGCGGACACAGGUGGUGUAUGUAUUGCCGUCAGCUCGUGCCGCGGUGUUGGGUUAUCCCGCAACGAGCGCAACCCCCUCGUGUUUAGCUGCCACCGUUGAGUUUGGGAACCCUGAACAGACUGCCUGCGAUAAGCCGAGGAAGGAGGAUGACGUCGUCAUCAUGCCCCUUUAUGCCCUGGGCGACAUGUGCCACAAAUGGCCGGGGAUAGCAAUGCGAUCCCGCGGUGAGCUUAAAUCCAAACCCGUCCUCAGUCUGGAUUGUAGCCAACUCGCCCUGCUAUGAAGCCGGAAAUCGCUAGUAAUCGCUGGUCAGCCAUAUUGGCGUGAAUCCCGUUCCUGGCCUUGUACAUUCGCCUAAUGCCACUUAUGGAGCUGGCCAUGCAAAGCCGUUACCUUAAAUCGUAUAUGAGGGGGUGCCGAAGGCAGGGCUAGUGACGGAGUGAAGUCGUGUUGCGGUAGCUGUACUGAAGCAGUGCGCUG